RNAcentral lists this ribosomal RNA (712 nucleotides) under eukaryotic picoplankton environmental sample. RNAcentral describes it as "SSU rRNA". It matches the Rfam family "Eukaryotic small subunit ribosomal RNA", at positions 169 to 902 of the family's 1831-position model. The record is from RNAcentral.
ACAUGCGCGAAUCCCUGACUGCGCAAGCGGAAAGGGUGUAUUUAUUAGAUACAACCAGCCGGGCAACCGUUUUUGGUGAAUCAUAAUAACUGAGCGAACCGCAUGCUUCGGCGGCGGUGGUCUAUUAAGUUUCUGCCCUAUCAGCUUUCGAUGGUAGGGUAUUGGCCUACCAUGGCGUUAACGGGUAACGGAGAAUUAGGGUUCGAUUCCGGAGAGGGAGCUUGAGAGAUGGCUACCACAUCCAAGGAAGGCAGCAGGCGCGUAAAUUACCCAAUCCUGAUACAGGGAGGUAGUGACAAGAAAUAACAAUGCGGGGCCUUCGGGUUCUGCAAUUGGAAUGAGUACAAUUUAAAUCCCUUAACAAGGAUCAAUUGGAGGGCAAGUCUGGUGCCAGCAGCCGCGGUAAUUCCAGCUCCAAUAGCGUAUAUUAAAGUUGUUGCAGUUAAAAAGCCCGUAGUUGAACUUCUGGAAUAGCCUCGCGGGUUCCGCUUCGGUGUGAAUCUGCGACUGUUCCAUCCUCGCGCGGAAGCAUUGGCAUUAACUUGCCGAUGUGGACGCGCGUCCUUUACUGUGAAAAAAUUAGAGUGUUUAAAGCAGGCUUGCCGCUUGAAUACAUUAGCAUGGAAUAAUGAGAUAGGACUUCGGUGCUAUUUUGUUGGUUGCGUACCGAGGUAAUGAUUAAUAGGGACAGUUGGGGGUAUUCAUAUUUAAC